ACGGAAGGCAGCAGUGGGGGAUAUUGCACAAUGGGGGAAACCCUGAUGCAGCGACGCCGCGUGAAGGAAGAAGUAUUUCGGUAUGUAAACUUCUAUCAGCAGGGAAGAAAAUGACGGUACCUGACUAAGAAGCACCGGCUAAAUACGUGCCAGCAGCCGCGGUAAUACGUAUGGUGCAAGCGUUAUCCGGAAUUACUGGGUGUAAAGGGAGCGUAGGCGGAUAGGUAAGUCAGAUGUGAAAGACCGGGGCUCAACUCCGGGGCUGCAUUUGAAACUAUCUAACUAGAGUACAGGAGAGGUAAGCGGAAUUCCUAGUGUAGCGGUGAAAUGCGUAGAUAUUAGGAGGAACAUCGGUGGCGAAGGCGGCUUACUGGACUGAAACUGACGCUGAGGCUCGAAAGCGUGGGGAGCAAACAGGAUUAGAUACCCUGGUA
Molecule: ribosomal RNA, 434 nt
Filed under: uncultured Coprococcus sp.
Lineage: Bacteria; Bacillati; Bacillota; Clostridia; Lachnospirales; Lachnospiraceae
Description: partial 16S ribosomal RNA
Rfam family: Bacterial small subunit ribosomal RNA
Source: RNAcentral